This 497-nucleotide ribosomal RNA is filed under the name uncultured bacterium. Its description in RNAcentral is "partial 16S ribosomal RNA". It matches the Rfam family "Bacterial small subunit ribosomal RNA", at positions 28 to 507 of the family's 1533-position model. The record is from RNAcentral.
GAUGAACGCUGGCGGCGUGCCUAAUACAUGCAAGUCGAGCGAACAGACGAGGAGCUUGCUCCUCUGACGUUAGCGGCGGACGGGUGAGUAACACGUGGAUAACCUACCUAUAAGACUGGGAUAACUUCGGGAAACCGGAGCUAAUACCGGAUAAUAUAUUGAACCGCAUGGUUCAAUAGUGAAAGACGGUUUUGCUGUCACUUAUAGAUGGAUCCGCGCCGCAUUAGCUAGUUGGUAAGGUAACGGCUUACCAAGGCAGCGUUGCGUAGCCGACCUGAGAGGGUGAUCGGCCACACUGGAACUGAGACACGGUCCAGACUCCUACGGGAGGCAGCAGUAGGGAAUCUUCCGCAAUGGGCGAAAGCCUGACGGAGCAACGCCGCGUGAGUGAUGAAGGUCUUCGGAUCGUAAAACUCUGUUAUUAGGGAAGAACAAAUGUGUAAGUAACUAUGCACGUCUUGACGGUACCUAAUCAGAAAGCCACGGCUAACUACGUG